RNAcentral lists this long non-coding RNA (233 nucleotides) under Phoenix dactylifera (date palm). Its description in RNAcentral is "long non-coding RNA (PDAC_LNC012939)". Lineage: Eukaryota; Viridiplantae; Streptophyta; Magnoliopsida; Arecales; Arecaceae. The record is from RNAcentral.
UUGAGGAUGGCUGAAUCUUUCUUCUCUUUUUUUUUUUUCAAAGCAAUGGCAAUGGAGGCUAGGGUUCUUUGUGGUGGAAGGAAGGAGGAAGAAGAUGGGUUGCUGGUUGGUGAGAUUGGGUUCAAGGAGGGUCAGCCAAUGGACCAAAAUUUGGCACCAAUUUUUGUGGGGGCUGAAAUUGGCUAGACCAAUUUUUUUAGGCUGAAUUGGGUUAUGUGGAGUCCUAAUGGCAA